This 1118-nucleotide long non-coding RNA is filed under the name Nicotiana tabacum (common tobacco). RNAcentral describes it as "long non-coding RNA (NTAB_LNC013814)". The record is from RNAcentral. Lineage: Eukaryota; Viridiplantae; Streptophyta; Magnoliopsida; Solanales; Solanaceae.
CUCCAACUAAGAAAAAUCAAGAACGUCUGCUCUCUCUGUCAUUCCUCUUGUUGUCAAGUUUGCACUUUAGUGUGUUUUCUUCCAUCAAUCGUAUUUUUUGGUAGGUACCUCUUCUGUCAUCUCUUUGAUUCAUCUUUAUCUAUAUUUCUGUUGAGGAGUAUCAACGGAUUUUGGUCUCUAGGUGUUUGAGAAAAUUCUUCAAUGAAUUACCAUUUCUGUUAAAUUUUUUAUGCAUAUUUAUGUCUUCUCUAUUUUUAAAAUAUUUGUGAUUCAUCUCUAUCUGUAUUUCUCUUGAGGAGUAACAAUGGUUUUUGUUCUCAUUUCGCUGGGGCUAAAUUAUAUAAGAAUAGUUGUAAAUAAUGCUCAUGUGAUUAUCAUCUUUCUUACACCAAAGGUUUUGACUGCAAAAGAAUAAUUAUCGUAAUUUGUGAACUGAUCGAUUCUGCAGAAAUGCAAAAAGGAUGCACAUAUUUCUUAAAAUGUAUAAUGGCUUCUCUCUGUUUCAAACUUACUCCUUCAAUGAAAAGCGUGAUAGUACUACAUGUGAUUUUUUGUUGCCUAUUUUACCUUUCUUUCUUAGUGGUAAAAGACUAAAAGGAUCAAUUUUGGCUAAAAGGUGGAGUCUUUAUUGAGAUUUCUAUUGAUUCUUGUAACCUAAAUCUGUAGUAAUUUUAGAGAUUGAAGUUUCCAUUAUGUAGUCUGCAAUUUCUUGGCUGAUAUUAAGUCAUAAAGGGAUAACUUGGUAGAAAGGUUGCUUCUUUAUUGGGAAUACAAUUUCUUUUAUGGGAUUACAAUUUGUUAUGGCAAUUUUCUACCUAAAUGCGUAGUAAAUCUAGAGGUUGAAAUGUCCCUGUGUAACCUUCUUGGAUGCAUAACAGUUUUAUAUUGCUGCUAUGUAUGUAUAUAUAUAUAUAUGUAUGCACUUGUGUCUGUGUGCGUGUAUGUCUGCUUCAUCAUUUGUUUUCCAUUUUUUGUUCUUGUUGUUAUUGUUAUUGUAGUCUGAUUAUUCUUCGCGUACGCAAACUGCUAUUACCAAAGAUCUGAAGCUCAUUGUUUCUGAGGUAACAAGUCAUUCUUGGUUUAUAUAUUUCGAUUCAUUUUCUUGAGAGCAAUUUCUG